Molecule: long non-coding RNA, 1608 nt
Filed under: Mus musculus (house mouse)
Lineage: Eukaryota; Metazoa; Chordata; Mammalia; Rodentia; Muridae
Description: predicted gene 5079 (Gm5079)
Source: RNAcentral
AUCUCAAAGAGGCCUGGCUAGGAAGACAUCCUUUCUGGGUGAGUCUUCUCCUUUCUGCCUGGCUGCCUACAUGCCGAGCAACCUCCAUCAAAAAAUAUACCAGCAUUUCAGAUCCACCUUCCGUCUCAUAGAUGACAUUGCAAACGUCCCUAGGUGGGUGCAUUCCCAUUGUCAAAUCCUCUUGUGGUGCCGUCCUUCAUUCAAGAUGGUUCCUUACUUAUGUGUACAUGCGAUGACAUCUGAGAGUCAGAAAGCCCUCCUGGACUGUUCACACCGCCCAGUGCCCUCGCUGCUGACACCAGCCUUGGCAACUGAACCUCCAAAGAAAACAGUCUAUGGAUUAAUACUUGGACUCGACAGUGCCUUCUGCAACUGGUGAUAGAAGAAGACACCAUUUCCUAGCUCUCUCUGACACACAAUUCUCACCAACACCAAAAAACAGUGGCUAACAAGACUGAACUACAAACCUCAACCUGGUUUCUAGUGCGCUUCUGUUUACCCUGCUUCUGCUAAUGAGAUACUACUUGGAGAUGCAAAUUUUUAAGAAUGUUAGCUUCAGCCUGGAGAGAAGGAAACUGCAAUUUGCAGUUUGUGCUGGGAGUGAUAACCUUCGUAAGUAAUGGGUUUCACUGAUUAACUGCUGCUAACAAAACAUUGUUGCCAAACCUGUUAAUCUAAAACUAGCAAUAGGACGGCUGUUAGAUCCACAUUUCCCUUCCUCCAGUCCCCAGAGAGCUCAGAGAAAUAUUUCUCACUUAAAUAGCCUUCAUCUUCCCAUGUAUUUUAUUGCAUCUGCUAAUAGGUUAGCCAUAAGUUAGGAGCGGUUCGGAGAUAGAUAUCCAAUCAACCUCAACGAGGAGUUCAAGGAGAAAAGCAAUUCCAUUUAAAACAUGGUUUUUGUUUGUUUGUUUGUUUUCCUAACUGGAAGGUGGAGUGGGGAAAUGUGUGAGUUUGCUGAGUACUCAAAUAAAUGGAAGUACUAAGCGCUCUUAGUGAUCAGAAGGUUUGAUGUCUCGCGUCGCUCGUUGUGUAUGUGACAGUGCACUCAAUUCCCAGAACCAAGCAACAACCCUUUCACGGAGAUUCUUUCUGCUGACCUGCCCACGAAAACCCACCCCAAUUGACUCUCAAUAUUUUGCUGCUUAGAUUGACAUCUGAGAGAGCCCCUAAAGCAGGUCCUCAUUGUGCCCUCAACUUUGUCAUAAGCGCCUCCACCCCACAAAGCUGGGGUGGGCUCUCCCACUCUGGACUAUGGAAGUCUAGUCACAGGAAGCCUGCUUUACUGCUAAGUCACAGACCUGUGGCAUAUUGGGACAGUGUAAAGGUGCAAACACGUGGGCCUUGUCUGGUCUGCCCCCCUAAUAGCUGGGAAGAUCACGUGACUUCAUCAUUUUCAGUAUCUUGAGAUGAGCAUCCUGGAAAAGUUAAAGGUUUUUGUUUUUACCCCUCCCCCCAGCUCCCAAGGUUAAGGGGAAUAUCUCUUUAAGUACAUUAAUGGAAAAAUAUAUUGCUCAAAUAGUGAAAUAUAUAUAAAUGUACCAAAGCACUUUAAAUACUCAAACUGGUUGAUGCUGAUGAAUGUUUCCAAUAAAAAAAUAAAUUUUGUUU